CCUACGGGAGGCAGCAGUGGGGAAUAUUGGACAAUGGGCGAAAGCCUGAUCCAGCCAUGCCGCGUGUGUGAAGAAGGCCUUCGGGUUGUAAAGCACUUUCAGUGGGGAAGAAAGCCUUGGGGCUAAUACCCUCGAGGAAGGACAUCACCCACAGAAGAAGCACCGGCUAACUCCGUGCCAGCAGCCGCGGUAAUACGGAGGGUGCGAGCGUUAAUCGGAAUUACUGGGCGUAAAGCGCGCGUAGGCGGUCUGAUAAGCCGGUUGUGAAAGCCCCGGGCUCAACCUGGGAACGGCAUCCGGAACUGUCAGGCUAGAGUGCAGGAGAGGAAGGUAGAAUUCCCGGUGUAGCGGUGAAAUGCGUAGAGAGCGGGAGGAAUACCAGUGGCGAAGGCGGCCUUCUGGACUGACACUGACGCUGAGGUGCGAAAGCGUGGGUAGCAAACAGGAUUAGAUACCCGUGUAGUC
RNAcentral lists this ribosomal RNA (465 nucleotides) under Vreelandella stevensii. Its description in RNAcentral is "partial 16S ribosomal RNA". It matches the Rfam family "Bacterial small subunit ribosomal RNA", at positions 338 to 795 of the family's 1533-position model. Lineage: Bacteria; Pseudomonadati; Pseudomonadota; Gammaproteobacteria; Oceanospirillales; Halomonadaceae. The record is from RNAcentral.